CCCUUAGAUGUUCUGGGCCGCACGCGUGCUACACUGAGUGGAUCAGCGGGUCAGGUUGCGCGAAAGUGUUUCCUAAUCUUGAAAUCCGCUCGUGAUGGGGAUUGACGGUUGCAAUUUUCCGUCAUGAACGAGGAAUACCUUGUAAGCGCGGGUCAUCAUCCCGCGCUGAAUACGUCCCUGCCCUUUGUACACACCGCCCGUCGCUCCUACCGAUUGCGUGGUCCGGUGAGGCUUUGGGAUCUGAGCGGAAAGAGCGUUUCGCUGUUUCUGCUCGGAAAACUCAGUCGAACCUUAUCAUUUAGAGGAAGGAGAAGUCGUAACA
Molecule: ribosomal RNA, 322 nt
Filed under: uncultured eukaryote
Lineage: Eukaryota
Description: partial 18S ribosomal RNA
Rfam family: Eukaryotic small subunit ribosomal RNA
Source: RNAcentral